CAAGCCUGCAUGCAUUUUCUGUUGCUUCCUGAGAAAGACCUGGGAGCCAUGGCUUUAGCCUGAAAGUUCUUGAGUCUUUUUAGGAAGAAUCUGAACUGCAAAACACUUGUCCUUUAUAUUUAUAACUGGUCAAAAUAACGCUGGAGUUAAUGUUACAUCUGUUACAGAAAAUGAAACCUCCUGAGCUGUCCGGUAAUAGAAAGAAGCUGCAGAACCCUGUUGUCUUCAUCUUUUGUUUAACUCAUGCAACAUUUGAAAGCACGUUUGCCUACAAGAAAUAAAACUUAAGUUGUGAAAUGGCUUAUUAAUGAACUCAGAUGACAAGAAACCAAAACAGCGGGCCUGGCUGAAGGAUUCAUCCCUAGCCCUGAAAGCCAGCGGGGUCUUUCUGUAACAUCAAAGGCACAAACAAUUGAACCGACAUGGGGACUUAUUCUGUCCAGCAGCCCUGGUGGCCUCAGACCAUCCGAAGCAAGGGUAACCUACCAGAUGACCAAGUGGAAUACCUUUUAAAGGCUUCAAGACUUUUCUUUCCCACUCCUCCCUGCCCAUGCGAGGGAGGCUCCAUUUUAAAAUGUAACACACACACACAAAAAAACGGAUUUGAAAUAAGGCAUUAGCCUGAGGUAACUUACCCCCACCUUGGCUCCAGAGCAGCUUGGAUUUCCGAUUCUUUGAGCAGGUCAGUGAUUUGGGGAACCAGUAAAAGAGCCGGGCUAUUCUUCUGAAGGUCUCAUGAAAGUCACUUCUUAUGGCCAUAGCGAGAACCAGGAGUGUUCCAGAAUGACUCGCUACAGAGAGCAUGGAUGAGGAGCACAGUAACACCCACAUAUGACACUUUAGCUGUGAACUGCCUUUCAGCCAAUAUGUCUGGGGACCACCUGUUAGCCCUAAAUCCCCUUCCUCUGUCAUUCUUUUGGCUUGUCCUUUAGACCUUGGCCCUCAUAACUAGAAACUGUAUUAAUAGAUGUUCUUUCUAAAGAAAGAGUUUUAAGCUUUCUUAAGAGAAGCUCUAACCUAAUGCAACACUUGGUAAUUUUCAAGCAUGGACCUCCUGACCUCGUUCAUAAAAACACAAUUUUUUCAUAGAGGAGUGAAAAAAAACAGGAUCCACUAACUCAACUUCCAACAGAAUUGUCAGUGGUAAUUUGCAGGACUUAGUGGUGAUGGACAAGCAAUCUCCUAAAGCCAUAGCCUUGAUCCCAUUUGUUUUGUGCAUUUUUACUGGAAAAAUGAAACCUAUUUGAAACUUUAGCAGGAAUUUAUCCCAGAAAAAAAAAAAUUAGUUCUUAUGAGUCAAAAAAUGUGUAAAAGGGCCAGGCACAGGGGCUCACACCUGUAAUCCCAGCACUUUGGGAGGCUGAGGUGGGAGGAUUGCUUGAGCCCAGGAGUUCAAGACCAGCCGAGCCAACAAAGCGAAAUGCUGUCUCUAGAAAAAGGAAAAAAAAAGCUGGGCAUGGUGGCACGUACCUAUAGUCCCAGCUACUCAGGAGGCUGAGGUGGGAGGACUGCUAGAAUCCAGAAGAUGGAAGCUGCAGUGAGCUAUGAUAGCACUACUGCACUCCAGCCUGGGUGACAGAGCAAGACUCUUCAAAAAAAAAAAAAAGAUGCAAAAGACCAUUUUCCCCCAGGGUCCUAUUUUGAUCUUUAACCAUUUAUUGAACAAUUCUCUAGAACUUCUAACAUUGUAACAUUACUGAAUCCAUUUCAGCAUUUCAGCAGACAUCAAUGCCUAGUUGUCUACCACGCAGCUUGUACUGAGGUUCCCCAUCAUCACUCCUAAGACUAUGUCUAACAGUUGGUCCUUGUGCAUUCUGUUUAUGUCAAAAGAAAUAAACUUAUUCAUAUAUUCAUUUAGGAGCUAAGUCGAUUAAACAGCCUGAUGUAAUAUUUGGGCUUGCUUUUUAUAUGCCACAGCAAAUUUUUGGAGCUGAUUUACUCUCUAAAGAGAAACAACGGAUAUUAUUAUAUUGCCAGUUUUUAUUUCCAGAUCAGAUGUUUUUGUUUCCUAUUCCAUUUUCAGUAUUUCUUAGGAAUUUGGACUUUGAUUCUUCUUACAAGUGACAAGUGGGGAGCAAGUCUAACUAAAACAACAGUGUAAGAGUUUUUCAGGUCUUCUUAAAAGUGGGAUGUGGGGUGGAGAAUCCAGCUAAAAUAGUAAAGAUUUCUUUCAAUGUUUUUCCCUUCAACUAUGUGUGUCUGCCCCAGCACUUCUCAGUUUCAAAAAUUUGUUUGAGUAAUUAUAAAUUUUCUGCAGCACUUCCUCAAAGACAAAGCACAACAUAUAAAACACAUCGGAGUGAGGUGAAAUUAGAAACAAAAGACUAGCUCUUGGCCGGGUGCGGUGGCUCAUGCCUGUAAUCCCAGCACUUUGGGAGGCUGAGGCAGGCGGAUAACCUGAGGUCAGGAGUUUGAGACCAGCCUGACCAACAUGGUGAAACCCCGUCUCUAAUAAAAAUACAAAAAUUAGCCG
RNAcentral lists this long non-coding RNA (2473 nucleotides) under Homo sapiens (human). Its description in RNAcentral is "HSALNT0190519". Lineage: Eukaryota; Metazoa; Chordata; Mammalia; Primates; Hominidae. The record is from RNAcentral.